RNAcentral lists this ribosomal RNA (253 nucleotides) under uncultured bacterium. RNAcentral's name for it is "partial 16S ribosomal RNA". It matches the Rfam family "Bacterial small subunit ribosomal RNA", at positions 524 to 776 of the family's 1533-position model. The record is from RNAcentral.
UACGUAGGCAGCGAGCGUUGUUCGGAGUUACUGGGCGUAAAGAGUGCGUAGGCGGUUUUCUAAGUUUGGUGUGAAAUCUCCCGGCUUAACUGGGAGGGUGCGCCGAAGACUGGAAGGCUUGAGUAUGGGAGAGGUAAGCGGAAUUCCUGGUGUAGCGGUGAAAUGCGUAGAUAUCAGGAGGAACACCGGUGGCGAAGGCGGUUCUCUGGGCAUUACCUGACGCUGAGGAGCGAAAGUGUGGGGAGCGAACAGG